Molecule: non-coding RNA, 2911 nt
Organism: Equus caballus (horse)
Lineage: Eukaryota; Metazoa; Chordata; Mammalia; Perissodactyla; Equidae
Source: RefSeq, a predicted model, not a curated record
CCGGCAUCGUGGAAAAUCCAGGAAGGGCGUCGGGUUUAUUCUUCUCACCCACCGAGGUGUCCGGCGGGCCGGUGCAGGCCCAGCAGCUCCAAGACGCCCGCGGGCCCGGCCUCCUCCUCCACCUCUCUCGGCGCCCUCGGUGAGGCGUGCCCUGUGCUCACAGCGCAGCUUCCUGGCCUCGCGUCCCCUUUCACGAUGGACAGCGGGUGGCCCACGCGAGGCCAGCCACCCGCCCUUCCGGGAGCUUUCCCAGAAUGCCGCACAGAACCGCAGCUCUCGUUUCAUUGGUGGGAACUGUGUCACAUGACCAACUGCCAAGGGGGCGGGCAUGCGCUGUUGUUCAACUCAUUGGCCAGAGCAGUGUCACAUGACUGCCUGCAGAGGGGCGGGAAAUGUCAUGUUUCCAUCUCAUUGGCCAGAGCGGCUUCACCUGACUGCAGACAGAGGGCUGUGAUGUUUUUAAGUAGAAGCAUUGUUGUCCUUGACAAAGUAGAGGCCGUGUUAACAAAAGAGAAAAGGAAGGAUACCAUCUAUCAGAAGUUACCUCAGCAAUUUAAUAACAGCUUCUGAGGGGGAAAGAAAACAGAAAGAAGGAUGAAAUUAAAUGUCUAGAUCAAUUGAAAGAAGCAUCUUCUUUUGGACAGUUUGAAAUGUAUGCCCCAGAAUUGAAGAAAUGCAAUAUUAAUAUCAAAAGGCGGUUUCUAGAUUUCGGAUUCCUGGAAACGCUCCCAGGAACCGCCAAAGAGGAAGAGCAGAAGCAGCGCUGUUCCCGCGAACAGAGUAGAGUUCUAUUCUGCUACCAACUGGCCGAGGGACGCGGGGACGUCCCCUGCUCACUGUCUUCAGUUUUCUGUGGGACAAUGAGCCUCAGGCCUCCUAGCCCUGACUCUGGCAGAAGAGCAAAUUCCUUGGCCUGACCCAGCGGCACGUGCGGGCUCCUGGGGAGGGGCGUGGCCGACCCGGCCUCCCCCAGUGACCUGCACCUCCCCUCAGGCCCAGAGUGAAGAGCAGGGCAGCGGAGGCCACACUGCCAGGACCCUGGGCCUCGGGACGCAGCAGGCCGGGUUCCCAGCCUCCUCCCUGUGCGUUUGCUGGAGUCCUGUACCCACUCUUGGCGCCAGCCUGUCCCCAUCUCUGCCCUCCCCGCCCUGCCAUCCUAGACUGGCUCCCAGGAUGCCUGGAAGGCAGACUCUGGCAGCCUGUGAGUGGGUGGGAGGGAGGGCAGGACCCCAGAGGAGAAGGGAGAAGAAAUCAUGGGCUCCAAGUGGGUGCAUUUACUCCCAUCUGCUCCAGGUUAUCUUUAAAUAGGAUAAAAUUACCCUCUCAGCUCCUUUAUCUCCAUGCAGUACUUCUAAAAAAAGAGCAUCUUGACAUUUUAGGAGGAAAAAAAUAAGGAGAAGAUGAGACAUGUAAUAUCCAGUGUAUACUGAGGAUGGAGAAAUUUCAAUGAACUCAUAGUCAAACCUCCUUAAUGUCUUGAAAAAGAAAACCACACCGGGGUCUGAUGUCGGGAGGGGAGGAGAGUAUUCCAGGAGGAAAGCCCGGCUCCGAGGUAGAAAGAAGGCUGUGGGGAGGGGGUGGGGCAGGUUGGUCCCCUGGAGCUGGGGUCUGAGACAGGCCGUUGGGGUUUGGGGGGCUGAUGCAAGAACUCUGGGACUCAAGCGCCCCAGGACUCUGCACUCACUACCCACCCCCCCCCCCCCACUUGCUUUCUACCCCUUUGCAAACUGGCUCCUGGCCCCCCUGCUAGUGAGACUCUCUCCAUGGUAAGGCCUCACCAGCAAGUCCUUGCCUUGGCUGUCAGCUCCCGCCCUCUCCCCACGCCCACCCUCUCCCUGGUCAGCCAGGACCCUGUGCUCCCUGGUGGCCCUCUUCUGUCCACUCUGUUUCUGCUCUUCACUGCUCCUUCUCUGAAGAUGCCCCCAAGCUGUGUUCCCUAGUCCCUUCUCCUUGACCUGCUAACAGACCUGGGACUCAGGGACAUGGGAAGGAGACUUCGGUCAAGGUCACAGCAACAGGCACUAGAAGCAGAGUGAUGGGUCUUCGAGCUGAUGUGAGACUGCAGGCAGCACGUUCAAGGAGAAAGAGGAUGAACUUGGAAGCAGACACACCUGCCUUCAGAUCCUGGUUCUAUCAUUUGCCAGCCACGUGACCUUGGGCAAGUCACCCUCAACCCUCUGAUGACACAUUUCUCCACAGGAGCAACCUGCCAGGGUUCCUGCGAGGCUGGGCCCAGUGUCUGACACACAUCUGCUCCAGAGGAUGAAUGCUAACCUCUUUUCUAGAAUUUCUCCAGUUUCUUUUAAUCAUCUGUUUAUUUGCCUGUGGUCCUCACAGGCUCGAGAGCUCCUGAAGGCAGGAAUCGCAUCUGUGCUCUCAGCUUCAAGUCCCGUGUGGGCAAGGCAUCAGUUGCCGGUACAGGCGGCCUGACCUCGUGGGACACCUGGGCUCUCGAACACUGCUUUGCCUGAGUCCUUGCCUUCUCUUCCUUGAAGCACUGCGCAUGGAUCAGAGCUCCUUGCAAAUGGCUUCAGUAGAUACAAUAUUGCUAAUUGGAAACAACGAGAAUGACUUUAUACCCUGUAUCUUUUUGAAAUCUCUACGCUCUAAGGAUUAUUUGUAUCCUACGAGAGGCCCAAAGAUGGUCCAAAGAAAAUAACACUGUCCACAAACUACUGGAGCGCCUGCCUGAGAACCGCAGGACUCAGGAUCGUCAGCCUCCCGGGACGCGGUGGCGGGAUGACGGAGUUCUCCUCCAGGUCCCCCGAGAAUGCUGUCCUCGCCCCGCAGGCGUCUUCGCUGCAGGCUGAGUAGGACUCUGAGAUGGUCUUGUGCACGCUGAGCCCAACUGCUGGUCCGUGUCGACUGCAACCUGACUGACAGAGACCAAUAAAAAUAAUAUGACCCUUUC